Long non-coding RNA from Ailuropoda melanoleuca (giant panda), 250 nucleotides. RefSeq lists it as uncharacterized. The record is from RefSeq and is a predicted model, not a curated record. The transcript has 3 exons. NCBI's taxonomy places the organism in Eukaryota, Metazoa, Chordata, Mammalia, Carnivora, Ursidae.
GCUCCCUCACCCUUCUGCCAUGUGAAGAUACAACAAGAAGAUGGCACUGAACCUACCAGCAGCACCUUGAUCUGAGACAUCCCAGCCUCUAGAACUGUGAGGAAGAGAGGUUAUAAUCCCACCUGGAGCCACCUAAAUGAAGACCUGCUAGAUAUUUUUUUAAUCUACUAGACUACUUUGUCUUCAGAAAUUAAAGAGAGAUGCACCCCUGGAGUUACCUAUUCUGCCAUUUUCACGUCCCAGAAGCACC